GUUCAUGUAGCUUAAUAAACAAAGCAAAGCACUGAAAAUGCUUAGGUGGAUUUUUAACCCCUAAACA
RNAcentral lists this transfer RNA (67 nucleotides) under Cricetulus griseus (Chinese hamster). It matches the Rfam family "tRNA". From Rfam's summary of the family: Transfer RNA (tRNA) molecules are approximately 80 nucleotides in length. Their secondary structure includes four short double-helical elements and three loops (D, anti-codon, and T loops). Further hydrogen bonds mediate the characteristic L-shaped molecular structure. tRNAs have two regions of fundamental functional importance: the anti-codon, which is responsible for specific mRNA codon recognition, and the 3' end, to which the tRNAs corresponding amino acid is attached (by aminoacyl-tRNA synthetases). tRNAs cope with the degeneracy of the genetic code in two manners: having more than one tRNA (with a specific anti-codon) for a particular amino acid; and 'wobble' base-pairing, i.e. permitting non-standard base-pairing at the 3rd anti-codon position. The record is from Rfam by way of RNAcentral. Lineage: Eukaryota; Metazoa; Chordata; Mammalia; Rodentia; Cricetidae.